RNAcentral lists this ribosomal RNA (253 nucleotides) under uncultured bacterium. RNAcentral describes it as "partial 16S ribosomal RNA". It matches the Rfam family "Bacterial small subunit ribosomal RNA", at positions 524 to 776 of the family's 1533-position model. The record is from RNAcentral.
UACGAAGGGUGCAAGCGUUACUCGGAAUUACUGGGCGUAAAGCGUGCGUAGGUGGUUUGUUAAGUCUGAUGUGAAAGCCCUGGGCUCAACCUGGGAAUGGCAUUGGAUACUGGCGACCUAGAGUGCGGUAGAGGGGUGUGGAAUUCCCGGUGUAGCAGUGAAAUGCGUAGAUAUCGGGAGGAACAUCUGUGGCGAAGGCGACACCCUGGACCAGCACUGACACUGAGGCACGGAAGCGUGGGGAGCAAACAGG